CAGCGGCCAAGGUCAGGAAGAGGGAGGUAGGCUAAGAUAACCCUCCACAGCUCCACGGGGAGGCUGCCCACCUCCAUGGCAGCAGCAGAGACACCGGCUGGGGAGCAGCGUGAUGGGAGGCACACCUGGAAACACACAGAUAUACUGGCACUGUGUUCAUCCAAACAGGCCCAGGUUUCACACUGAGUAGGAGUUGAAGACGAGCCAUGAUGACUGCUGCAGAUGUGAUGUUCCAAUGGAGUUGAGACGGUCGCCUCCAGUUUACGGCAACACUCGGCGGAACGACCAGGGAGCCUGAGCUGUCCGACCGACUCUGUUACGUGGGCAGCUUUUUGAGCGAGGAGCAGUGUGUGGGGAUGAUGCCAUGCUCAGAGCACCUCAGUGAUAACUUGGCAGCUGGUGGAUUCGAACCUGCAACCUUCCGGACCCACUGUAUAGGUACAUGACUGUAUAGGUGUAUGUACUUGUUUGUGUCAAAAUUUAUUUAAAUUAUUUCUCUUACUUUUCAGUUCAAUAAUGGUGAUGUUUCUGUAU
Cynoglossus semilaevis (tongue sole) is the source of this 534-nucleotide long non-coding RNA. RefSeq lists it as uncharacterized. The record is from RefSeq and is a predicted model, not a curated record. NCBI's taxonomy places the organism in Eukaryota, Metazoa, Chordata, Actinopteri, Pleuronectiformes, Cynoglossidae. The transcript is spliced from 4 exons.